CACGUGGGUGAUCUGCCCUGUACUUCGGGAUAAGCCUGGGAAACUGGGUCUAAUACCGGAUAUGACCUUACAUCGCAUGGUGUUUGGUGGAAAGAUUUAUCGGUACAGGAUGGGCCCGCGGCCUAUCAGCUUGUUGGUGGGGUAAUGGCCUACCAAGGCGACGACGGGUAGCCGGCCUGAGAGGGCGACCGGCCACACUGGGACUGAGACACGGCCCAGACUCCUACGGGAGGCAGCAGUGGGGAAUAUUGCACAAUGGGCGAAAGCCUGAUGCAGCGACGCCGCGUGAGGGAUGACGGCCUUCGGGUUGUAAACCUCUUUCGACAGGGACGAAGCGCAAGUGACGGUACCUGUAGAAGAAGCACCGGCCAACUACGUGCCAGCAGCCGCGGUAAUACGUAGGGUGCGAGCGUUGUCCGGAAUUACUGGGCGUAAAGAGCUUGUAGGCGGUUUGUCGCGUCGUCCGUGAAAACUUGGGGCUCAACCCCAAGCUUGCGGGCGAUACGGGCAGACUUGAGUACUGCAGGGGAGACUGGAAUUCCUGGUGUAGCGGUGAAAUGCGCAGAUAUCAGGAGGAACACCGGUGGCGAAGGCGGGUCUCUGGGCAGUAACUGACGCUGAGAAGCGAAAGCGUGGGUAGCGAACAGGAUUAGAUACCCUGGUAGUCCACGCCGUAAACGGUGGGCGCUAGGUGUGGGUUUYCYUUCCACGGGAUCCGUGCCGUAGCUAACGCAUUAAGCGCCCCGCCUGGGGAGUACGGCCGCAAG
This 767-nucleotide ribosomal RNA is filed under the name Nocardia farcinica. Its description in RNAcentral is "bacterial SSU rRNA". It matches the Rfam family "Bacterial small subunit ribosomal RNA", at positions 114 to 892 of the family's 1533-position model. Lineage: Bacteria; Bacillati; Actinomycetota; Actinomycetes; Mycobacteriales; Nocardiaceae. The record is from RNAcentral.